RNAcentral lists this long non-coding RNA (240 nucleotides) under Hordeum vulgare. RNAcentral describes it as "long non-coding RNA (HVUL_LNC017177)". The record is from RNAcentral. Lineage: Eukaryota; Viridiplantae; Streptophyta; Magnoliopsida; Poales; Poaceae.
GCUGCUGGCAGCGCCGACAAUGCUGCUCUUGUCCUCCAGCAGAGGGGUAAUGCUGAUGCUGAGAAUGCUGUUGUGGAGAAUGGCGUUGAUGCCGCGGCUGUUGCAGGCGACAUUGUAAUUCAGUCUCUGGAAGAUGCUAAUGCUAAUGCUGCUGGUGCUGAAAAUGCUAAUGUAAUUGAGGAGGAGAAGGUUGAUGCUGCCUCUGCUUCUGAUGACACUGUUGAGGAUGCUCUGAANNNN